Molecule: long non-coding RNA, 405 nt
Filed under: Sorghum bicolor (sorghum)
Lineage: Eukaryota; Viridiplantae; Streptophyta; Magnoliopsida; Poales; Poaceae
Description: long non-coding RNA (SBIC_LNC012302)
Source: RNAcentral
GCAACAAGUACCUAGAUUGAGUAAAGCAAGGGUGAGAUGAAAUAUCUCAGCAAGCGAACUUGUUUUGACAAGCUAUUUAAACCACAAGUUCAAUUAACAUCAAUUUAAUAUGUUGUUCCCAUCUGACAUGAUAUCAAAUAAAAGUAACAGUCUUCCAAUUUGAAACAUAGCCAACAAUAGAGAGCUUCAUAGUAACAUAGAUAAGAUCCCUUCAAUAAUAUACUUCUCAUGAAUGCAUAUGAAUGCAAUGCAUAUGUCUCCUGCCUGCACACCCAACAAGGUGUGGAGCUGCAUGCCAUGAUGUUGUACCGGUACGGUCGUGACCAUAGGUCGACGACAUAACUUCCAAUGCAAAUGAAUGAUGCAAUGCACUUGGCAUGCUGCAAUGAAAUUACAUACACCACC